RNAcentral lists this transfer RNA (85 nucleotides) under Methylocystis sp. B8. Its description in RNAcentral is "tRNA-Leu". It matches the Rfam family "tRNA". Rfam says of the family: Transfer RNA (tRNA) molecules are approximately 80 nucleotides in length. Their secondary structure includes four short double-helical elements and three loops (D, anti-codon, and T loops). RNAcentral also lists the same sequence under 3 other names. Lineage: Bacteria; Pseudomonadati; Pseudomonadota; Alphaproteobacteria; Hyphomicrobiales; Methylocystaceae. The record is from RNAcentral.
GCCCCUGUGGCGGAAUUGGUAGACGCGCUCGACUCAAAAUCGAGUGCCGCAAGGCGUGCUGGUUCGACUCCGGCCAGGGGCACCA